UUGUUUUUGUUUUUGUUUUUUUAAUAACAAAAUUGAAAACAAAGCUAAGUAGCAAAGGCUAAAGCAGAUCUUGUUUCGGAAUGUUUCUACUCUGAUCAGAAUGAAUAACACCAAGAGAUGAGCGUAAGCAUGAUUACAACAAGUGCCAAAGGGUUGCCGAUUCUAUUAGGAGAGAAGACAAUUCUUCAGAUCCCUGGAUUAAGUCAUGAUUAGUCCGAUGAUAAACAAUUCUUCAGAUCCCUGGACAAUAAGAUCUAAAGCCGAAGAACUAAUAGAUCAACGAAGGCAAAACUCAAAGAUCUGUCAUAUCAAGUAGCCGACAUACUCGUCAUCUUAUACUGUGUCUUAAUGAUCCUGCUUACGAAAACAGGGUGGUCUUAACGUACGUCAAGGAACGUCAGGAAUCAGGAUCAGUGAUGAAGAUCGAAAUCUCAAAGGAUACUCGUCAAGGUUGUACUCGUUUGUCGUCGUCAAGCUCAAGCUCGGGAUCUUCGUCUUCACGUCCUUUAACUACCAACGCAGUCAAGCAAACAAAUAUUUAGCCAAAGAUCGUGUUGCUCACCCUUAUCAUGCGACGAUCUGAUCAACACAUAUCCAGCAC
This 601-nucleotide long non-coding RNA is filed under the name Brassica napus (rape). Its description in RNAcentral is "long non-coding RNA (BNAP_LNC018730)". Lineage: Eukaryota; Viridiplantae; Streptophyta; Magnoliopsida; Brassicales; Brassicaceae. The record is from RNAcentral.